This 1515-nucleotide ribosomal RNA is filed under the name Triticum aestivum (bread wheat). Its description in RNAcentral is "partial small subunit ribosomal RNA". The record is from RNAcentral. Lineage: Eukaryota; Viridiplantae; Streptophyta; Magnoliopsida; Poales; Poaceae.
AUGGAGAUGGUGGAGAAGCUUUCUCUCACCACAAGACCACAUCCACAUCCUUACUACAUCCAAUGGUUCAACAACAGCGGCAAGGUUAAGGUAACACGUACUGUUCGUGUGCAUUUUAGUAUCUCUACAUAUGCUGAUUAUGUUGAUUGUGAUGUGGUACCUAUGCAAGCAUGUUCCUUAUUACUUGGUAGACCAUGGCAAUUUGAUAAAAAUUCUGUACACCAUGGUAGAAACAAUCACUAUACUCUUGUUCAUAAGGAUAAAAAUAUUACUUUGCUUCCUAUGACUCCUGAUUCCAUUUUGAAAGAUGAUAUUAAUAGAGCUAAUAAAGCACAACAGGAGAAGAAUAAGAGUGAAAAUCAGAUUGUGGCAAAAGAAUUUGAACAACAAAUGAAGCCUAAUAAUAAACCAUCUAGUGUUGCUUCUGAAAUUAAAUUGAAAAGUGCAUGUUUAUUUGCCACCAAAUCUGAUAUUGAUGAGCUAGAUUUCAGCAAAUCUGUUUGCUAUGCUUUUGUGUGCAAAGAGGCAUUAUUUUCAUUCGAGGACGUGCCUUCCUCUUUGCCUCCUGCUGUCACUAACAUUUUGCAGGAGUUCGCUGACGUUUUUCCACAAGACGUGCCACCGGGAUUACCGCCUAUUCGAGGGAUUGAGCAUCAGAUGGACUUAAUUCCCGGUGCUUCACUGCCAAACCGUGCACCAUACCGUACCAAUCCAGAGGAGACGAAGGAGAUUAUGCGUCAAGUACAAGAGCUUCUCGACAAAGGUUAUAUACGCGAAUCCCUUAGUCCUUGUGCUGUUCCUAUUAUUCUAGUGCCGAAAAAGGAUGGUACAUCACAUAUGUGUGUUGAUUGUAGAGGCAUUAAUAAUAUUACUAUUCGUUAUCGUCAUCCUAUUCCUAGGCUAGAUGAUAUGCUUGAUGAAUUGAGUGGCUCUACAAUUUUCUCCAAAGUUGAUUUGCGUAGUGGCUACCAUCAAAUUCGUAUGAAAUUGGGAGAUGAAUGGAAAACAGCAUUUAAAACUAAGUUUGGAUUAUAUGAGUGGUUAGUCAUGCCUUUUGGGUUAACUAAUGCACCUAGUACUUUCAUGAGAUUAAUGAACGAAGUUUUACGUGUUUUCAUUGGACGAUUUGUGGUAGUUUACUUUGAUGACAUAUUGAUUUAUAGCAGAUCUUUGGAGGAACAUUUGGAACAUUUACGUGCUGUUUUUAUUGCUCUACGUGAUGCACGUUUGUUUGGUAACCUUGGGAAGUGCACCUUUUGCACCGACCGAGUAUCUUUUCUUGGCUAUGUUGUUACUCCACAGGGAAUUGAAGUUGAUAAAGCCAAGAUUGAAGCUAUUGAGAGUUGGCCGCAGCCCAAAACGGUCACACAAGUGAGGAGUUUUCUUGGCCUCGCUGGAUUCUAUAGGCGUUUUGUGAGAGAUUUCAGCACCAUUGCUCCACCUCUCAAUGAGCUUACAAAGAAAGAUGUGCCUUUUCUUUGGGGUACCGCACAGGAGAAGCCUUCACGGUAUUGA